AUUUGUCACAAAUUUCCUAAUUUGAACUUUGACCUAAGAUAAAGCGUAUAAUAUGCUGCCCGAACAUCUAUCAGUUUUACGGCCCUCCAGAGAUGGUUUUAAUUACGGGCAAAUCACCAAUCCAAGUUACAACUUGCUCUGCAGCUAUUAGCUCGCAUGUUCACAAUGCAUAAGCUUGCGAACAGGUGUACAAAUUCAGGUGCACAACGGUUGGGAGAGGGACGGGUAGCCUUGAGUGAAAGAGAUAGCGGAAUGGACAGCGGACAGGCUUUUAGCAACAUGAAAAUGCUUUAUGGCAAUUAAAAAGCCAGAGAAAAGGAAUAUAGAUGGAUUGAUAGGAAAAAACGAGAAAGAGCGAUUGAACAAAUUGCAACGACAUGAAUGCAAUUGAAUGGUGUGUUCCGGAAAUCGAAACCUCUGAUUUCGAGUGGCAAUGGCCCACUUAUAAUUGCGCUUUUCUGGCCAAAUUGAUUUCGAGAACAUUGCUUGAAAAUAUAUUGGCAGCCAUUUUAUAUGUAGCAUGA
Drosophila melanogaster (fruit fly) is the source of this 524-nucleotide non-coding RNA. NCBI's taxonomy places the organism in Eukaryota, Metazoa, Arthropoda, Insecta, Diptera, Drosophilidae. The record is from Ensembl.